GAUGAACGCUGACAGAAUGCUUAACACAUGCAAGUCGAUGGGGAAGUGGUGCUUGCACCAUGGCAACCAUGGCGGACGGGUGAGUAACGCGUAAGGGACUUACCUGCAGGACUGGGAUAACAGGGGGAAACUCCUGACAAGACCGGAUAAUGUCAUGGAGCUGCAUGGCUUUAUGAUGGAAGGAGACGCCUGCGGAGAGCCUUGCGUCCUAUUAGCUAGUUGGUGAGGUAAUGGCUCACCAAGGCGAAGAUAGGUAGCCGGCCUGAGAGGGUGGACGGCCACAAGGGGACUGAGAUACGGCCCUUACUCCUACGGGAGGCAGCAGUGGGGAAUAUUGGACAAUGGGGGCAACCCUGAUCCAGCAAUUCUGUGUGCACGAAGAAGGUUUUCGGAUUGUAAAGUGCUUUCAGCAGGGAAGAAGUAAGUGACGGUACCUGCAGAAGAAGCGACGGCUAAAUACGUG
This 463-nucleotide ribosomal RNA is filed under the name uncultured bacterium. Its description in RNAcentral is "partial 16S ribosomal RNA". It matches the Rfam family "Bacterial small subunit ribosomal RNA", at positions 28 to 507 of the family's 1533-position model. The record is from RNAcentral.